Molecule: ribosomal RNA, 396 nt
Filed under: uncultured bacterium
Lineage: Bacteria
Description: partial 16S ribosomal RNA
Rfam family: Bacterial small subunit ribosomal RNA
Source: RNAcentral
AUACGUAGGUGGCAAGCGUUGUCCGGAAUUAUUGGGCGUAAAGCGCGCGUAGGUGGCUAAUUAAGUCAAAUGUGAAAUCCCCGAGCUUAACUUGGGAAUUGCAUUCGAUACUGGUUAGCUAGAGUAUGGGAGAGGAUGGUAGAAUUCCAGGUGUAGCGGUGAAAUGCGUAGAGAUCUGGAGGAAUACCGAUGGCGAAGGCAGCCAUCUGGCCUAAUACUGACACUGAGGUGCGAAAGCAUGGGGAGCAAACAGGAUUAGAUCCCCUGGUAGUCCAUGCCGUAAACGAUGUCUACUAGCCGUUGGGGCCCUUGAGGCUUUAGUGGCGCAGCUAACGCGAUAAGUAGACCGCCUGGGGAGUACGGUCGCAAGACUAAAACUCAAAUGAAUUGGCGGGG